CCGAGACACAUAAUCCCCUGGCAUACUUUGCAGCCCUGCGGAGAGAAAGAGGUGGUGGUGAGUGGUGGGGACUGGCUGCCGACAUUGGGCCGUGAAGCUCAUCUGCUCGGGCACAGAAGGCCGGGAUUGAGCCCAAGGAGGGAUGCAGAGUCACGGAUACGCGAGCGCAAGUUGCCUUUGUGGAAUCAGAGUCUAUGUAUGGACUCACAAUGAAGGCAACAGGAACGAUUCCCAGGAGCAUAUGCAAUGGAGUUGUUUAUGAUCUGGAAGCACGAGAGAGGCAGAGCCAGCCUGAAGAUAACUGAAGUCACAAGGAGUGGUGGCACCAAGCCCUGUGAGGGCUCUCAGGUGGGCUCCAUUCCCCAUGACCUGACUCCAGCCACCUGCCUUCGUCUCCCCACUUGUAAAAGCAUGCUGGGAAUACAGGGCAGGGAAUUCGUUGUCGUUAAUGAGGGGCUCAGGAGGAGAGAUGGGUUAAAUAGGUGUCAAGGUUUAUCAACAGCUAUUUAUUUAGCUCUUGAGCCUGAUCACUUGGAAUCUCUCCCAAGUAUUUGUGCCAUUCAAGUAGAUGCUAUACAACAAGAACAUACGUUGCUGAACAAAGGCCUCAUAUGAAGCCGAAAUUGAUAGGAUUACUAAGCACAACUGUUAAACCAAACCCGUAUUUUUAAACACAUUAAAAAAAUAUAUAUAUAAUCAAUAACAGUUAUCAAUUAAUUCUUUCCCCCGUGCUCACCUCUGGCCACAAAAAAAAAAAAAAAAAAAAAAAAAGAAAAAUCAGACGCACAACUCAGUCAAACCUUUCAGUGGGUUUGGGAGAACAAUAAGAAAAAAAAUUGGACCUAAAACAAUAAAACCUCCUGCUUUCUGUGGGCCUCUGCCUUCUGCUUGGAUUGCUGUAGCUGAUGGGAACUGACAGGUGUAUUGUUUCGGAGAGCUAUAAGCUCCAUAAUCAUCAAGGGUGAAAGGCAUACGCUAUUGCUAAGUAGGUUCAAUUGGCUUUAGUUCUAAGUAAGAGCGCGCUGUGAAUGCGCCGAACACCUUGGAAUCAGGUCUCAAGGCUCUAGCAAUGAAUAGCUGCUUAAUCUAGCCUAAAGGAACAGUUUUGAACUAAUGAAAAUUGCUUAUAAAAUAUACUGUACUCACAGCUCUUUAAUCAAAAAAGAUGAUAAUAUUUUUUGUAAUAACCUAUUAAUUUAAUUGGUCACGAAGCAUAAAAUACAUCAUUUAAAUUUAAUUGACCCAGAAACUAAGAAACAAUAUUUAAAUUAACUAAGCUAGAAAUUUUCAUGAUGAGGUAAUAAGGCUGUUGCAUUCCCAAGCUCAGAGGAAUGUUUUCACAGCUAAUUGUUAAAA
Long non-coding RNA from Pseudopipra pipra, 1356 nucleotides. RefSeq lists it as uncharacterized. Lineage: Eukaryota; Metazoa; Chordata; Aves; Passeriformes; Pipridae. The record is from RefSeq and is a predicted model, not a curated record. The transcript has 2 exons.